RNAcentral lists this ribosomal RNA (1448 nucleotides) under uncultured organism. Its description in RNAcentral is "SSU rRNA". It matches the Rfam family "Bacterial small subunit ribosomal RNA". The record is from RNAcentral.
GGCCUAACACAUGCAAGUCGAACGGUAACAGGAAACAGCUUGCUGUUUCGCUGACGAGUGGCGGACGGGUGAGUAAUGUCUGGGAAACUGCCUGAUGGAGGGGGAUAACUACUGGAAACGGUAGCUAAUACCGCAUAACGUCGCAAGACCAAAGAGGGGGACCUUCGGGCCUCUUGCCAUCGGAUGUGCCCAGAUGGGAUUAGCUAGUAGGUGGGGUAACGGCUCACCUAGGCGACGAUCCCUAGCUGGUCUGAGAGGAUGACCAGCCACACUGGAACUGAGACACGGUCCAGACUCCUACGGGAGGCAGCAGUGGGGAAUAUUGCACAAUGGGCGCAAGCCUGAUGCAGCCAUGCCGCGUGUAUGAAGAAGGCCUUCGGGUUGUAAAGUACUUUCAGCGGGGAGGAAGGGAGUAAAGUUAAUACCUUUGCUCAUUGACGUUACCCGCAGAAGAAGCACCGGCUAACUCCGUGCCAGCAGCCGCGGUAAUACGGAGGGUGCAAGCGUUAAUCGGAAUUACUGGGCGUAAAGCGCACGCAGGCGGUUUGUUAAGUCAGAUGUGAAAUCCCCGGGCUCAACCUGGGAACUGCAUCUGAUACUGGCAAGCUUGAGUCUCGUAGAGGGGGGUAGAAUUCCAGGUGUAGCGGUGAAAUGCGUAGAGAUCUGGAGGAAUACCGGUGGCGAAGGCGGCCCCCUGGACGAAGACUGACGCUCAGGUGCGAAAGCGUGGGGGAGCAAACAGGAUUAGAUACCCCUGGUAGUCCACGCCGUAAACGAUGUCGACUUGGAGGAUGUGCCCUUGAGGCGUGGCUUCCGGAGCUAACGCGUUAAGUCGACCGCCUGGGGAGUACGGCCGCAAGGUUAAAACUCAAAUGAAUUGACGGGGGCCCGCACAGGCGGUGGAGCAUGUGGUUUAAUUCGAUGCAACGCGAAGAACCUUACCUGGUCUUGACAUCCACGGAAGUUUUCAGAGAUGAGAAUGUGCCUUCGGGAACCGUGAGACAGGUGCUGCAUGGCUGUCGUCAGCUCGUGUUGUGAAAUGUUGGGUUAAGUCCCGCAACGAGCGCAACCCUUAUCCUUUGUUGCCAGCGGUCCGGCCGGGAACUCAAAGGAGACUGCCAGUGAUAAACUGGAGGAAGGUGGGGAUGACGUCAAGUCAUCAUGGCCCUUACGACCAGGGCUACACACGUGCUACAAUGGCGCAUACAAAGAGAAGCGACCUCGCGAGAGCAAGCGGACCUCAUAAAGUGCGUCGUAGUCCGGAUUGGAGUCUGCAACUCGACUCCAUGAAGUCGGAAUCGCUAGUAAUCGUGGAUCAGAAUGCCACGGUGAAUACGUUCCCGGGCCUUGUACACACCGCCCGUCACACCAUGGGAGUGGGUUGCAAAAGAAGUAGGUAGCUUAACCUUAGGGGGGGCGCUUACCACUUUGUGAUUCAUGACUGGGGC